ACCAUUUACUAGCUUAUGAUAUUAAACAAGUGAUUUAACCAUUCUAAGGCUGGGAAUUCCCCUCUGUAAACUGGGGAUAAUAGCAGCACCUACCUUAUUGGAUUGAUGUGAGGAUUAAAUAAGGUACUGCCUGUAAAGAGUUUAGUACAGUGUCCAGUUCACAUAUGCUGCUGUAAUCACCUGGGCCAAUUCCAUCAACAGGUGUGGUCAUUGUCCCUGAGCUGAUGAUGGUACAAAUGAGCAGACCAUCCUCGCCCUUCUGGAGACGCCACUGCGCACCUCCGGCCACCAACCUUCUGCCUGAGAAGCGUCGCUGACUGUCAGGCGUGCAAGCAGCGGUACCGAAGGUGCCCAGGUCCUUGGUGAUUCCCAGCAAACACUGCAACAACGCUGGCC
Molecule: long non-coding RNA, 396 nt
Organism: Suricata suricatta (meerkat)
Lineage: Eukaryota; Metazoa; Chordata; Mammalia; Carnivora; Herpestidae
Exons: 3
Source: RefSeq, a predicted model, not a curated record